Molecule: transfer RNA, 72 nt
Filed under: Ovis aries (sheep)
Lineage: Eukaryota; Metazoa; Chordata; Mammalia; Artiodactyla; Bovidae
Rfam family: tRNA
About the family: Transfer RNA (tRNA) molecules are approximately 80 nucleotides in length.
Source: Rfam by way of RNAcentral
UCCCUGGUGGCUCAGACGGUAAAGCGUCUGUCUACAAUGCAGGAAACCCGGGUUCAUCCCUCGGUCAGGAAG